RNAcentral lists this non-coding RNA (63 nucleotides) under Ctenophora environmental sample. Lineage: Eukaryota; Metazoa; Ctenophora. The record is from RNAcentral.
AAAAAUUUUUGUUCACUUUUUUUAUAAAUUUGUCCCAAAAAAAAACAAAACAAAAAAAAACAA